UACGUAGGUGGCAAGCGUUGUCCGGAAUUACUGGGCGUAAAGAAUGCGUAGGCGGUCUUUUAAGUGGGAUGUGAAAUCCCUGGGCUCAACCCAGGAACUGCAUUCCAAACUGGAAGACUAGAGUGCGGGAGAGGAAAUUGGUAUUCCCAGUGUAGCGGUGAAAUGCGUAGAGAUUGGGAGGAACACCAGUAGCGAAGGCGAAUUUCUGGAACGUAACUGACGCUGGGGCAUGAAAGCGUGGGGAGCAAACAGGAUUAGAUACCCUGGUAGUCCACGCCGUAAACGAUGAGUACUAGGUGUAGGGGCGCCAGCCUCUGUGCCGCAGUUAACACAUUAAGUACUCCGCCUGGGAAGUACGAUCGCAAGAUUAAA
This 372-nucleotide ribosomal RNA is filed under the name uncultured bacterium. Its description in RNAcentral is "bacterial SSU rRNA". It matches the Rfam family "Bacterial small subunit ribosomal RNA", at positions 524 to 898 of the family's 1533-position model. The record is from RNAcentral.